GGGGAAAGAUUUAUCGCCUUUGGAUUGGCCCGCGUCAGAUUAGGUAGUUGGUGGGGUAAUGGCCUACCAAGCCGACGAUCUGUAGCUGGUCUGAGAGGACGACCAGCCACACUGGGACUGAGACACGGCCCAGACUCCUACGGGAGGCAGCAGUGGGGAAUCUUGGACAAUGGGCGCAAGCCUGAUCCAGCCAUGCCGCGUGGAUGAUGAAGGCCCUAGGGUUGUAAAAUCCUUUCGUUGGGGACGAUAAUGACGGUACCCAAAGAAGAAGCUCCGGCUAACUUCGUGCCAGCAGCCGCGGUAAUACGAAGGGGGCUAGCGUUGUUCGGAUUUACUGGGCGUAAAGCGCGUGUAGGCGGGCUGGAAA
RNAcentral lists this ribosomal RNA (367 nucleotides) under uncultured Rhodobacter sp. Its description in RNAcentral is "bacterial SSU rRNA". It matches the Rfam family "Bacterial small subunit ribosomal RNA", at positions 199 to 586 of the family's 1533-position model. Lineage: Bacteria; Pseudomonadati; Pseudomonadota; Alphaproteobacteria; Rhodobacterales. The record is from RNAcentral.